Molecule: ribosomal RNA, 2459 nt
Filed under: Klebsiella pneumoniae
Lineage: Bacteria; Pseudomonadati; Pseudomonadota; Gammaproteobacteria; Enterobacterales; Enterobacteriaceae
Description: partial 23S ribosomal RNA
Rfam family: Bacterial large subunit ribosomal RNA
Source: RNAcentral
UGUGAACUCGAAGAGUAGGGCGGGACACGUGGUAUCCUGUCUGAAUAUGGGGGGACCAUCCUCCAAGGCUAAAUACUCCUGACUGACCGAUAGUGAACCAGUACCGUGAGGGAAAGGCGAAAAGAACCCCGGCGAGGGGAGUGAAAAAGAACCUGAAACCGUGUACGUACAAGCAGUGGGAGCACCUUCGGGUGUGACUGCGUACCUUUUGUAUAAUGGGUCAGCGACUUAUAUUCUGUAGCAAGGUUAACCGUAUAGGGGAGCCGCAGGGAAACCGAGUCUUAACUGGGCGUUAAGUUGCAGGGUAUAGACCCGAAACCCGGUGAUCUAGCCAUGGGCAGGUUGAAGGUUGGGUAACACUAACUGGAGGACCGAACCGACUAAUGUUGAAAAAUUAGCGGAUGACUUGUGGCUGGGGGUGAAAGGCCAAUCAAACCGGGAGAUAGCUGGUUCUCCCCGAAAGCUAUUUAGGUAGCGCCUCGUGAAUUCAUCUUCGGGGGUAGAGCACUGUUUCGGCUAGGGGGUCAUCCCGACUUACCAACCCGAUGCAAACUACGAAUACCGAAGAAUGUUAUCACGGGAGACACACGGCGGGUGCUAACGUCCGUCGUGAAGAGGGAAACAACCCAGACCGCCAGCUAAGGUCCCAAAGUCAUGGUUAAGUGGGAAACGAUGUGGGAAGGCACAGACAGCCAGGAUGUUGGCUUAGAAGCAGCCAUCAUUUAAAGAAAGCGUAAUAGCUCACUGGUCGAGUCGGCCUGCGCGGAAGAUGUAACGGGGCUAAACCAUGCACCGAAGCUGCGGCAGCGACACUAUGUGUUGUUGGGUAGGGGAGCGUUCUGUAAGCCUGCGAAGGUGACCUGUGAGGGUUGCUGGAGGUAUCAGAAGUGCGAAUGCUGACAUAAGUAACGAUAAAGCGGGUGAAAAGCCCGCUCGCCGGAAGACCAAGGGUUCCUGUCCAACGUUAAUCGGGGCAGGGUGAGUCGACCCCUAAGGCGAGGCCGAAAGGCGUAGUCGAUGGGAAACAGGUUAAUAUUCCUGUACUUGGUGUUACUGCGAAGGGGGGACGGAGAAGGCUAUGUUAGCCGGGCGACGGUUGUCCCGGUUUAAGCAUGUAGGCUGGUUGUCCAGGCAAAUCCGGAUAAUCAAGGCUGAGGUGUGAUGACGAGGCACUACGGUGCUGAAGUAACAAAUGCCCUGCUUCCAGGAAAAGCCUCUAAGCAUCAGGUAACAUCAAAUCGUACCCCAAACCGACACAGGUGGUCAGGUAGAGAAUACCAAGGCGCUUGAGAGAACUCGGGUGAAGGAACUAGGCAAAAUGGUGCCGUAACUUCGGGAGAAGGCACGCUGGUGUGUAGGUGAAGCCCCUGCGGGUGGAGCUGAGACCAGUCGAAGAUACCAGCUGGCUGCAACUGUUUAUUAAAAACACAGCACUGUGCAAACACGAAAGUGGACGUAUACGGUGUGACGCCUGCCCGGUGCCGGAAGGUUAAUUGAUGGGGUUAUCCGUAAGGAGAAGCUCUUGAUCGAAGCCCCGGUAAACGGCGGCCGUAACUAUAACGGUCCUAAGGUAGCGAAAUUCCUUGUCGGGUAAGUUCCGACCUGCACGAAUGGCGUAAUGAUGGCCAGGCUGUCUCCACCCGAGACUCAGUGAAAUUGAACUCGCUGUGAAGAUGCAGUGUACCCGCGGCAAGACGGAAAGACCCCGUGAACCUUUACUAUAGCUUGACACUGAACAUUGAGCCUUGAUGUGUAGGAUAGGUGGGAGGCUUUGAAGCGUGGACGCCAGUCUGCGUGGAGCCAACCUUGAAAUACCACCCUUUAAUGUUUGAUGUUCUAACGUUGGCCCCUGACCGGGGUUGCGGACAGUGUCUGGUGGGUAGUUUGACUGGGGCGGUCUCCUCCCAAAGCGUAACGGAGGAGCACGAAGGUUAGCUAAUCCUGGUCGGACAUCAGGAGGUUAGUGCAAUGGCAUAAGCUAGCUUGACUGCGAGCGUGACGGCGCGAGCAGGUGCGAAAGCAGGUCAUAGUGAUCCGGUGGUUCUGAAUGGAAGGGCCAUCGCUCAACGGAUAAAAGGUACUCCGGGGAUAACAGGCUGAUACCGCCCAAGAGUUCAUAUCGACGGCGGUGUUUGGCACCUCGAUGUCGGCUCAUCACAUCCUGGGGCUGAAGUAGGUCCCAAGGGUAUGGCUGUUCGCCAUUUAAAGUGGUACGCGAGCUGGGUUUAGAACGUCGUGAGACAGUUCGGUCCCUAUCUGCCGUGGGCGCUGGAGAAUUGAGGGGGGCUGCUCCUAGUACGAGAGGACCGGAGUGGACGCAUCACUGGUGUUCGGGUUGUCAUGCCAAUGGCACUGCCCGGUAGCUAAAUGCGGAAGAGAUAAGUGCUGAAAGCAUCUAAGCACGAAACUUGCCCCGAGAUGAGUUCUCCCUGAGACUUUAAGUCUCCUGAAGGAACGUU